ACGCUCGACACCUACGGGAGGCAGCAGUCGGGAAUAUUGCGCAAUGGAGGAAACUCUGACGCAGUGACGCCGCGUGCAGGAAGAAGGUUUUCGGAUUGUAAACUGCUUUAGACAGGGAAGAAAAAGGACAGUACCUGUAGAAUAAGCUCCGGCUAACUACGUGUCAGCAGCCGCGGUAAUCUGAGCGGGCUGGCAAGGC
Molecule: ribosomal RNA, 199 nt
Filed under: uncultured bacterium
Lineage: Bacteria
Description: partial 16S ribosomal RNA
Rfam family: Bacterial small subunit ribosomal RNA
Source: RNAcentral